Long non-coding RNA from Gasterosteus aculeatus aculeatus (three-spined stickleback), 2887 nucleotides. Lineage: Eukaryota; Metazoa; Chordata; Actinopteri; Perciformes; Gasterosteidae. The record is from Ensembl.
GCCAAUUGAAAUUCAAAACAGUUUUCGCUCCAAAUGCUUUGGGGAGAUCUGCUGCAAAUAAUGGAUGUAAUUUAUUUUUGACCUUGCAUUUCUAUUUUUUUUGGGGGGGGUUAUUAAAUGAUUAAACACAUAUGCACUAUGCUAUUUGACUAAACAAAUGGCAUCCUUGGCUUUUAUUGUUAUUAAAGCACAGAAGUCAUUUCCCCCCUUUUAUCUUUGCAUUAUGAAUAUGAAUGGCAUUAUUGUUGUGUUAAUAGUUUUUAUCUUCAGCUGAUAUAGUUACACAGCUGUUUUCUAAAUUUGUGUGUUUUUUAUUUGUUGAGGUCCAUGUUGAGGAAGUCUUCCAAUGUCACCAAGCAGUGAAAUGCACCCCCCCCCCAAACAAACACACACACACACGUACACUUAGCUGAAUCUGACCCCAAUUACAUUUAAACAAAGUCAUAUUUUACGCUCAGUUUUGCAUUAUUAUAACAUUUCUUUUAUUCAACUUAAAUUAGCAUUCUCCUGGUUUUCGGGAUGAUUCUGUUCACACUGAAAGCUUUAGUGUUUUAACAGGUGCAUCUCAGCUUGCUCAUGGGCUGAUACACAAAUCGUGAUUUGAUGAUUUUACUUGACUUUGAAAAAUGACACAAUGAGCCAAUAUGACUUUGAGGAGAGGGAAUCCAUUUUCUGAUCUCCUCUCGGUUCUCUUGAUCUCUUUUUUUCUUUUAUUGACCUGAAUGAAGACGUAUGGAGCAGAAUUGUGUGUUCGGUUGACUCCUGAUGAGGCCUGUCUGCCUCCCCCCCCCUCCCCCUUUCUCCCUGCUCCCCAUGAUCCCUGCAAGGCUGAGUGGCAGGGCUCUGGAUUGGCUAAGUGAUGAAAUGAUGACCCUAUUAUGAGAAGCGACUCCAAAAUGAGAGGUAUCAGAAGAAGAUUGCACCAUUCUCUCACUGCAACGCCGUCCUCCCGCACCAGACUGCCGGCUGCGCAGAUGAUGAUUGAUUCGCUCGAGAUGGAUCGCAGGAAGCACCCAUUGAUUUCCCAGUGUUUUAUCAAAAAUAUUUAUUUACAUUUGUACCCACAGCUUCACCCGCGACCCGCUAUUCCAAAUGAGGGAUGUUAUAAAAAGGAUAAUUCUCCCUCCUCCACGACAAGACAAAUUACCCGUAAUAUUAUUAUUUCAGAAACGAGCCAAUAGCAUCAGUGACUAAAUGGAUAUUGACUGCAGCUCGUAGUGUGACUGUGGCCUCCUUCACCCUGCUGCAGACUCCAGUGUCAGCAUCUACACAGUGAUGCCAAACCUCCCGAGUGUUUAACACACAAUCCAGGCCUGCUCUCACAAAACGACAACCGCAUGUAUCUCAGAUGGUGAAUCCGCCUACUGAAGGCUGCAUGCAGGCCGGUCGUUGGCCUGGUCAGAAAGACAUCGUGGCACCGUCCCAGGGUGGAGGCCUCGCCCACGCGCGCUGCCCUCGCCAGCCCCCACAAGCCGUUGUGGUGAACCACUGACCGUGCUACUCCCCGUUUUCCCCCAGACCGGCAAAUAAUGUGUCAGAAAAAGAUUAUUGAUAGAACGUAAAAGAAGAGUUGUAAUGCCUCUCGGCUUCAACUUUCGAGAACAAUACAAGUGCUAAACCGUCACUUUGAGCGCAUUGCUGCCACUGAAAGAGCGCAGCAUUUAUUUACUGUUUACUUUCGUUCUAUUUGGGAUAAAAAUGAGCUACAACUGCAACACGAACAGACAACAAUGACAUCUAUUUUGUGUUGUUUAAAAAGCCGCUUUUUCUUUUUUCCUUUUACAUGUGAAAACCUCUUUGUGGGAGGUUGGCAACCUCGUCGUGGGUGUUUUCAAAGGAGAAACCGAUUUUUUCAAAAGGAACAUUUGCAUUCCCUGCCUGCUCUGUUGAGUCAUUCACACUUUCUCCCACUUUACCAAACGCCGGCGAAGCUGAUGCUCUUCCGGCCUAAAUGUGGCGUCAGGCGGUGAUUCUCGGACACACACGAGGGACGCUGUAUUUACGGAAUUAACGACGCACUCCAUCCGCGCGCACACAGCAGCUGCCGGCUACACUUAGCUGAUUGAGACUGCCGGCCAACGCUGGCGUCGGCAGAGCGCCGUGAUCGAACAGUUGGGCCGCCCUUCUCUCCUGAAAAUCAACGCGGUGACGCGACAAUGCAAAAAAGUGAACGCUGCGCUCGGGCAGGUUGACUGUGUUUGGAUCGCUCGCCACGGGCCCAACCCCCUUUUUGCUCAUCGUUUCACUUUCGAUGUCGAUAGUGUUGAUCGUUUACACAGUUUCCCUUUCACAAAGACGGUGCAUGGCGCGCUGCAGAGAUGGAGCGUGCUUGUGCUCAGCAGUGAUGCCGGUAAAUGAGAGAAGGCACUACUCAUUCAAGUCGGUGUGUGUAUACACCGCGCUGUGUUUUGCUGUAAAGUGUGUGUUUAUGUUCACUGCAGGCAUAAUUCACAAUGUGUGUUAAAGGGCUCCAGGCCAUGCAGACACACAACUGGCAAACUAUUUCUCCCCAUUGUGAGAACAAGAAGAGAAAAUCUAAGUAUGGCAAACAAAACGCACUUUUUGAAGCUACGUAUGGAUAAGAAAGUGCAAAAAUAAAAACCUGAAAAAGCGUUUGAAUUUCUGUGUCAUUGCAAAAAAUCUAUUUCACACUACAUUAUGUUUGUUGCUGUACUCUCAGUCAAAUCCAGAUGCCAGUAACUUAUUCAAAGCCAGACAUAAGCAGCAUAUCAUAACGUAUAAUAGGAAUAAUGGCCCUUUGAUAUUUGGAUUUCCUAUUGGAACACCUGUCACUUUUUGGCAAGGGCACACCCCAGCACCAGGUCUCCUUUGGUAUCGCUGGGGGAGGAGUGUAUGCAUGUGUGUGUGUGUGUGUGAGUAUAAGUGU